This 253-nucleotide ribosomal RNA is filed under the name uncultured bacterium. RNAcentral describes it as "partial 16S ribosomal RNA". It matches the Rfam family "Bacterial small subunit ribosomal RNA", at positions 524 to 776 of the family's 1533-position model. The record is from RNAcentral.
UACAGAGGUCUCAAGCGUUGUUCGGAUUCAUUGGGCGUAAAGGGUGCGUAGGCGGCGCGGUAAGUCGGGUGUGAAAUCUCGGAGCUUAACUCCGAAACUGCAUUCGAUACUGCCGUGCUUGAGGACUGGAGAGGAGACUGGAAUUUACGGUGUAGCGGUGAAAUGCGUAGAGAUCGGGAGGAACACCAGAGGCGAAGGCGGCGACCUGGACAGGCACUGACACUCAACUACGAAAGCGUGGGGAGCAAACAGG